This 828-nucleotide ribosomal RNA is filed under the name Rhodococcoides corynebacterioides. Its description in RNAcentral is "bacterial SSU rRNA". It matches the Rfam family "Bacterial small subunit ribosomal RNA", at positions 93 to 931 of the family's 1533-position model. The record is from RNAcentral. Lineage: Bacteria; Bacillati; Actinomycetota; Actinomycetes; Mycobacteriales; Nocardiaceae.
GAGUGGCGAACGGGUGAGUAACACGUGGGUGAUCUGCCCUGCACUUCGGGAUAAGCCCGGGAAACUGGGUCUAAUACCGGAUAGUACUGCGCGGUGCAUGCCGUGUGGUGGAAAGAUUUAUCGGUGCAGGAUGGGCCCGCGGCCUAUCAGCUUGUUGGUGGGGUAAUGGCCUACCAAGGCGACGACGGGUAGCCGGCCUGAGAGGGCGACCGGCCACACUGGGACUGAGACACGGCCCAGACUCCUACGGGAGGCAGCAGUGGGGAAUAUUGCACAAUGGGCGCAAGCCUGAUGCAGCGACGCCGCGUGAGGGAUGACGGCCUUCGGGUUGUAAACCUCUUUCAGCAGGGACGAAGCGCAAGUGACGGUACCUGCAGAAGAAGCACCGGCCAACUACGUGCCAGCAGCCGCGGUAAUACGUAGGGUGCAAGCGUUGUCCGGAAUUACUGGGCGUAAAGAGCUCGUAGGCGGUUUGUCGCGUCGUCUGUGAAAACCAGCAGCUCAACUGUUGGCUUGCAGGCGAUACGGGCAGACUUGAGUAUUUCAGGGGAGACUGGAAUUCCUGGUGUAGCGGUGAAAUGCGCAGAUAUCAGGAGGAACACCGGUGGCGAAGGCGGGUCUCUGGGAAAUAACUGACGCUGAGGAGCGAAAGCGUGGGUAGCGAACAGGAUUAGAUACCCUGGUAGUCCACGCCGUAAACGGUGGGCGCUAGGUGUGGGUUUCCUUCCACGGGAUCCGUGCCGUAGCUAACGCAUUAAGCGCCCCGCCUGGGGGAGUACGGCCGCAAGGCUAAAACUCAAAGGAAUUGACGGGGGGCCCGCACAAGCG